This 973-nucleotide long non-coding RNA is filed under the name Triticum aestivum (bread wheat). RNAcentral's name for it is "long non-coding RNA (TAES_LNC000864)". Lineage: Eukaryota; Viridiplantae; Streptophyta; Magnoliopsida; Poales; Poaceae. The record is from RNAcentral.
CACAAACAUGAUAGAAUCAAGUACUAUUUAGCUAAUACACUUUUCAUGCUUAGGAACCAAUAUUAAUUACCACAGGCCAAGGCUUUACAACUCGAAUACUAUGGAAAUGAUGGUAGGAAAAUCAGGAGGAUUGAGGACAAUAUAUGCUCUAGAAUUGUUGUAACUGUCAUCGGAAGCCUGUACCAGAAUCAGAUAUUGACUGUUAGAACUCAGUUUGGGUAGAAGUAAAACAAAAAAAGUAACUAUGCAAUUAAUACAUGGUUAGUCCAGAACAUGAAUUUGAAUUGUGUGGAUGCAUAUUAUGACCUGCAAUAGAAAGACAGAGAUCAUCCACCACAGAUAUACAUCCAUUCAUCAGGAUAAAUUGUUUGUUUUUUCUUCGAAGAGAAACAGUACCAUAUACAUUCACCUGGAUUUAUUUGUGACUCAAUACAUGACAUGGAUUAGCACAAAGAAACUUGGUCAGCGGAAAUUCGUUUUGGCUCAUGCCGAUGGCAGUUUGGUCUAGAAUUCUAGAUGGAGCCCUCGUGUCCUCAUCCACGAAGAUUGGCCGCCUGAACCCAUGAAGAGGCUCGGGUAUUCAGAACUAAAUUGGGCAGCUACACAGGUCAAACAAGAUGCUGACAAGAUUACUUACCCAUCAAUCGGAUAGACUUGGAAUCCAUCCCCGGUUCUUGCGGUCGUGGAGGCAGCGUCACAGGGCGGCGCGGGAGGUCAAAUCUCACCAAUAGCACGACAGAACAGAUCCUGAGGAAUCCCUAUCAAUCACUGGUACUGGUAGUGUGGUAUGUGUUCUUGCCGCAGUCAACAAGCCCUCCCCGUGGUGGAGAGCAGGAGACCUUGCCGGAGCUGGGCGAGGAAGAGAGAUGGGCAGCAGGGCCGUGCGGAGCAGGUGGCAAGGGGCGGCAAGGAGGGAAGCAAGAUGUGGGCGUCACCGCUGUGCGGCGGCCGUCCAGGGAGGGUGCAGAUGGAU